Molecule: transfer RNA, 86 nt
Filed under: Dictyobacter arantiisoli
Lineage: Bacteria; Bacillati; Chloroflexota; Ktedonobacteria; Ktedonobacterales; Dictyobacteraceae
Description: tRNA-Tyr
Rfam family: tRNA
About the family: Transfer RNA (tRNA) molecules are approximately 80 nucleotides in length. Their secondary structure includes four short double-helical elements and three loops (D, anti-codon, and T loops). Further hydrogen bonds mediate the characteristic L-shaped molecular structure. tRNAs have two regions of fundamental functional importance: the anti-codon, which is responsible for specific mRNA codon recognition, and the 3' end, to which the tRNAs corresponding amino acid is attached (by aminoacyl-tRNA synthetases). tRNAs cope with the degeneracy of the genetic code in two manners: having more than one tRNA (with a specific anti-codon) for a particular amino acid; and 'wobble' base-pairing, i.e. permitting non-standard base-pairing at the 3rd anti-codon position.
Source: RNAcentral
GCCGGGGUGGCGGAAUGGAAAACGCGCCAGCCAGUAUGGAAGGUGAGCAGAUGCUCUUGAAGGUUCGAUUCCUUCCCCCGGUACCA